RNAcentral lists this ribosomal RNA (467 nucleotides) under uncultured bacterium. Its description in RNAcentral is "partial 16S ribosomal RNA". It matches the Rfam family "Bacterial small subunit ribosomal RNA", at positions 28 to 506 of the family's 1533-position model. The record is from RNAcentral.
GACGAACGCUGGCGGCGUGCUUAACACAUGCAAGUCGAACGGAAAGGCCCUGCUUUUGUGGGGUGCUCGAGUGGCGAACGGGUGAGUAACACGUGAGUAACCUGCCCUUGACUUUGGGAUAACUUCAGGAAACUGGGGCUAAUACCGGAUAGGAGCUCCUGCUGCAUGGUGGGGGUUGGAAAGUUUCGGCGGUUGGGGAUGGACUCGCGGCUUAUCAGCUUGUUGGUGGGGUAGUGGCUUACCAAGGCUUUGACGGGUAGCCGGCCUGAGAGGGUGACCGGCCAAAUGGGGACUGAGACAGGGCCCAGGCUCCUACGGGGGGGAGGGGGGGGGAAUUGUGCAAAAGGGGGGGAAGCCGGAGGCAGAAACGCCGGGUGGGGGAGGACGGCCUUGGGGUUGUAACCCGCCUUCGCCUGGGACGAAGGGUGAGUGACGGUAAUGGGUAAAGAAGCACCGGCAAAAUACGG